CAUUUAACAACAUCAAGGGCUGAUUAUUUCUGUUAACGUGAAAUUACUAAUGACUAAUAAUGUCGUAUUUAUUCGAGAUAAACCAGACGAGUGAAAUUAUUCUCCGCGCCAGUUAAACAUCCACUAAACCGCCUUUAAGUUCAUAGUACAGUACCACAUAAUGGGUUGAAUACUUGCUAAUUAUUUCCUAUUGAUACAAUGCUAGGAUUGUUACACAUGUACGCUGCUUUCUUCACGAGACAUUAUUUUAUUUGGAACUGGUUAAAAAACUUGAAAAUAUAAUUAACUCAUAUUAAUAGAUUUUAAUGGAACCCGUGCCCAGAUUUAACACACGGAGUUAGACGAAAGUAGCUUGAAUGUGAAUUCGAACGUACAUAUAUAUAUAGCAACUCAACAUGAUGCAAACACAAACGAUAAGCGUUAUUCUUUUAUCGCUGCUCAUCUUCACAUUUCUAUUGGAAUGCCAAAGUCAAAAAUGCAGAAAAUAUGGAAAAAGAUGUAGGGAUACGAAACCUUUCAUCAAAGGACGAGGUCGAUGUGCACGAAGUGGAGCGCAAAUGAGCUGUGCAAGGAUUGGUCGUGCCUGCAGAUGCAAAUCCACAAUAAUUCUAAACUCAUCUCCCCAGCUGAACGAGAAACAUUCGUCUCUGGGACUUCAAGCCACUCUGAACAUUAAUCUUAGCAUCAACAGUGAUAAACAAUCUGAAGACAAUUACAUAUACAUCUGAGAAGUAUUUAGUUCGAAAAUCAAAAUAAUGCCGAGUGUGUUACAAAAAAAAAAAAAAAAAAAACACUUGAAAAAACAAAUUUAUAUUGUUAUAUUGAAUCGAAGGCAUGUACCUCUAGAUGUUAGCUUUAGUCUAUCUUUAAAGUUGAAGUUUGGUCAUUUUAUGUCUGAACACAAGGUUUUGUUUCUAAACUGUCUAAAAAUGCCAGAUCAAGAAAGCAAACAUCCCCGAGUCGGUAAUCGUACCCGGGCAACCUAUGCAGUAAAAAUGUUCGUGUGUUUUUGACCAAUACACCACAGAGGAAUACGUACUUAACGAGCAUUGACUAUAAAGCUUUAUAAUUAAGGCAGUUUUCAUCCGGUACCCCUUUACAAAUCCUUUUCAAUUUUGAAUAGAAAAUUAGUAAAAACAAAAAAAAAAUCUUUUUUAUGCGUUUUCAUAACAUUUAAUGUGCCAGUUUCAAAGCUUAAGAAUUACAACAGUAUCUUUCUUUUAUCUUAAAUUUGUUUUUUUCAUACGAUUUGCCUAAAAAUAUGACAUAAAAACUUCUUUGCUUGUCAAACUUGAUCGAUGAAUAAAUUAAGUUUUUUUUAUAGAGAAUGUACGUACGUUUUACGUUUUCUAGACAUAAAUCUAAUGUUAAUUCAUAAUACGGUGGUAUGUUUAGGACAUAAGUUAUUUUUUUAAGAUUAAGUUAUCUCGUACGCA
Molecule: long non-coding RNA, 1436 nt
Organism: Mercenaria mercenaria
Lineage: Eukaryota; Metazoa; Mollusca; Bivalvia; Venerida; Veneridae
Exons: 2
Source: RefSeq, a predicted model, not a curated record